AGAGGCAUUGUACUCCAAUGGUCA
Molecule: non-coding RNA, 24 nt
Filed under: Arabidopsis thaliana (thale cress)
Lineage: Eukaryota; Viridiplantae; Streptophyta; Magnoliopsida; Brassicales; Brassicaceae
Source: RNAcentral